AAUGAACGCUAGCUACAGGCUUAACACAUGCAAGUCGAGGGGUAACGAGAGGAAAGCUUGCUUUCCUUGUUGACGACCGGCGCACGGGUGAGUAACGCGUAUCCAACCUGCCCCCAACUAGGGAAUAACCUUGCGAAAGUAAGACUAAUACCCUAUAAUUUCCUCCGAUGUCAUCUGACGAGGAAUAAAGAUUUAUCGGUUGUGGAUGGGGAUGUGUCUGAUUAGCUUGUUGGCGGGGUAACGGCCCACCAAGGCAACGAUCAGUAGGGGUUCUGAGUGGGAGGUCCCCCACAUUGGAACUGAGACACGGUCCAAACUCCUACGGGAGGCAGCGUUGAGGAAUAUUGGUCAAUGGGCGGAGGCCUGAUCCAGCCAAGUAGCGUGCAGGAUGACGGCCCUAUGGGUUGUAAACUGCUUUUAUACAGGAAUAAAGUUAGCCACGUUUGGUUAUUUGUAGGUACUGUAUGAAUAAGGACCGGCUAAUUCCGUGCCAGCCGCCGCGGUAA
RNAcentral lists this ribosomal RNA (506 nucleotides) under uncultured bacterium. RNAcentral's name for it is "partial 16S ribosomal RNA". It matches the Rfam family "Bacterial small subunit ribosomal RNA", at positions 29 to 523 of the family's 1533-position model. The record is from RNAcentral.